Molecule: long non-coding RNA, 1098 nt
Organism: Pelmatolapia mariae (spotted tilapia)
Lineage: Eukaryota; Metazoa; Chordata; Actinopteri; Cichliformes; Cichlidae
Exons: 3
Source: RefSeq, a predicted model, not a curated record
ACUUUAUUUUUUCAUGAGUUAUUUACAAGUUUCUGACCACUUAUAAAAUGUGUUCGAUGCAGGGGCGGAGCGUGGGGGUGGCUUACUGGGCUUAAGCCCGGGUUGUUUUGUCAGAAGCCCGGGGUCUUUUGGAGUGUAAUUUUUUCAUAGUUAGAUGCCUGGCUGACAACUGUAUAAAACAAAAAGUACACACAAUAUUCGAAGCACAUAGUGCACACUGUGGGAAUUUACGACUGUGCGUAAAUCCCCCCUGAUAUUGGUAUGAUCCGAGCUCGCGACUGAGCGAGGGGGCGGGGCAGCUGCUGCCUGUGAGUGCGCUGUUGGAGAAACUGAGCCAGCCAGACAGGGGAGAGCUUAAGUUCGACCAGUUGUUACCCUCCCCGACUAAAUCGGUUUCAGUUAUGUACUGAAAUAUAAGAAUGGACAUUAGAGGGUUCUUUCAAAGAAAAAUGUCAGCACAGAGGGAGAGAGAGGAACAGAGAGGGAGAGAGGAGCAGAGAGGGAGAUGGAGAAUGAGGACAGAACAGAGAUGGAACAAGAGCAGGUGAGACACACAUGUUAGUCAAAUGGUUGUUUACCAAAAGUAUCACCGUAUCAUAGGUACUCAUGUAUCUCGUACCUCGUGUUUCUUUUUAGGUUUGUUAUUUUUCAAGUUAUAUAUUUAUUAAGUUAUGCAGGCUUGUUUGCACAACAAGGCUAAGUAAUUAUAUAAACUUUUCUGAAUCUAAAUAGUGUACUUUGGUAGAAUUAAAAAAUAAGUGUCAUGCAGGUCUAUGAUGAUUUUUAGUGCUACUAUCAUCUAGUUUUGAUUCUGGUUCUGUCUUGGAUAAGUCCUAAGUAGUCCUGAUUUUGAACUGUUGUAGUCCUGGUUUAAUUCCGGAUCAGUUCUGGGUCUGGUUGAAUUGGGGUUUAGUCCUCGUGUCUUGAUACAGCACUGAUUUUGUUCUGCCUUGCUGCUUAAUUAAAAAAGUAGUUUAAGGUGUCCUGCAUAUGUGAUAUAUAUUUUUCCCUAUAUGAAGUCAUUUUUUUUAAACAAAACUCAAAACAGAGCCUAUUAAUCUUUCAGUCAUUUCUAACUCCCCCCCCCCCCCAAAAAAA